GGGGCCGUAGCCCAACGGCAGGAGGCGAACGGUUUAGGUCCGUUACAGUGCGGGUUCGAAUCCCGCCGGCCCUA
This 74-nucleotide transfer RNA is filed under the name Allonocardiopsis opalescens. It matches the Rfam family "tRNA". From Rfam's summary of the family: Transfer RNA (tRNA) molecules are approximately 80 nucleotides in length. Their secondary structure includes four short double-helical elements and three loops (D, anti-codon, and T loops). The record is from Rfam by way of RNAcentral. Lineage: Bacteria; Bacillati; Actinomycetota; Actinomycetes; Streptosporangiales.